RNAcentral lists this transfer RNA (69 nucleotides) under Anisocentropus maculatus. RNAcentral describes it as "tRNA-Lys". The record is from RNAcentral. Lineage: Eukaryota; Metazoa; Arthropoda; Insecta; Trichoptera; Calamoceratidae.
CAUUAAAUAUCUAAAAAUAAGAGAUGGUCUCUUAAACCAUUUAUAGUAAUUAAUUAUUACUUUUAAUGA